RNAcentral lists this long non-coding RNA (484 nucleotides) under Calidris pugnax (ruff). RNAcentral's name for it is "lncRNA (ENSCPUG00000012088.1)". Lineage: Eukaryota; Metazoa; Chordata; Aves; Charadriiformes; Scolopacidae. The record is from RNAcentral.
UGGAGCUUGGGAUGUUCUCGAUGGCCCUGGGACGUCCUUGGAUGGACCUGGGACCUUCUUAAGGACGUCGUGGAUGGAGCUGGCACCUUGGCGUGUCCCUCACUGGCCUUGUCACCCUCUUGGGGACAGCGGAGAUGGACCUGGGGGACAUCCCCGAUGGAGCUGGGACCUUCUUGUUGUUGGGGGAGGAACAUCAUCGUUGAUGGACUUGAGGCCGUGGGGACAACCUUGGUGACCUGGGGACAUCUCGUGCUGGCCCAGGUCACCAGGAGGCCACCUUGGGUGGCCUCAGGACACGUGGGGACAUCCUCAAGGGCCACGGGGACGUCCUUGGUGGCCCAGGAACCUUUGGGGGGGGGGGAACAUCUCUGGUGGCUUCCAGGCAGCCAUCUUGGGUGGCCCGGCUUCUCCUGGGAGGGACAUCCCCCUGGUGGCCUUGGGGACAUCUCUGGUGGCUUCUGGAGACAUCUCUGGUGGCUUCUUG